UGGGCUUGGGUUAACCUAAUCUCCCAUAGAGUUGGUCAAGGGAGUUUUGGGUUUGGGUCACUUGAUCCUAUGUUUAUAUAUACAUGUACUGUAUAGGUUUGAUUAAGCCAAGGAAUACAUAACUCUUUCUCCUAAGUCUCUCUCUCUCUUCUUCCUCUCUCUCCAGCAAUUCUCCACACCCCAGGAGCAAGAAACCCUAAGGUUUCUUGCCUCCAGGUCCCGAAAAGGAAAGAAAAGAAGGGGAGGCGCUAGCCCCUCCCCCUUGGUGCCACCAACCAGAUUCCCCCUCUCUCUCUUGUAGCCACCCAAGCAUCAGGUCCAGGACCUGAAAUCUCUUGAUAAGAGGUUGGUACAAGUUUCUUUCAGAUCUGGAGUUGAUCUG
RNAcentral lists this long non-coding RNA (382 nucleotides) under Elaeis guineensis (African oil palm). RNAcentral describes it as "long non-coding RNA (EGUI_LNC066081)". Lineage: Eukaryota; Viridiplantae; Streptophyta; Magnoliopsida; Arecales; Arecaceae. The record is from RNAcentral.